Molecule: unclassified non-coding RNA, 309 nt
Filed under: plant metagenome
Description: partial contains 5.8S ribosomal RNA, internal transcribed spacer 2, and large subunit ribosomal RNA
Rfam family: 5.8S ribosomal RNA (bases 1-105)
Source: RNAcentral
GAAAUGCGAUAAGUAGUGUGAAUUGCAGAAUUCAGUGAAUCAUCGAAUCUUUGAACGCACAUUGCGCCCCUUUGUAUUCCAUGGGGCAUGCCUGUUCGAGCGUCAUUUGUACCCUCAAGCUCUGCUUGGUGUUGGGUGUUUGUCCCGUCUCCGCGCGUGGACUCGCCCCAAAGUGAUUGGCAGCCGGCGUACUGGUCCGGGAGCGCAGCACAUGUCGCGCAAACGAGUGCCUUGGUACGGCGGCGUCCAUAAGCCCCUCUCUCACGCUCUUGACCUCGGAUCAGGUAGGGAUACCCGCUGAACUUAAGC